RNAcentral lists this ribosomal RNA (465 nucleotides) under uncultured bacterium. Its description in RNAcentral is "bacterial SSU rRNA". It matches the Rfam family "Bacterial small subunit ribosomal RNA", at positions 32 to 518 of the family's 1533-position model. The record is from RNAcentral.
AACGCUGGCGGCGUGCUUCAUACAUGCAAGUCGAACGAUAAGGUCUCUUCGGAGAUACAUAAGUGGCGGACGGGUGAGUAAAAUGUAGAGAAUCUGCCCUUAAGCGGGGGACAACAGAGGGAAACUUCUGCUAAUACCCCAUAUGAGCGUAGCUGAAAUGCUAUUCUUGAAAACUCCGGUGCUUAAGGAUGAGUCUGCAUCUGAUUAGCUAGUUGGGGGUGUAAUGGACCACCAAGGCGACGAUCAGUAGCUGGUUUGGGAGGAUGAUCAGCCACAAUGGGACUGAGACACGGCCCAUACUCCUACGGGAGGCAGCAGUAGGGAAUUUUGCGCAAUGGGGGAAACCCUGACGCAGCAACGCCGCGUGACCGAUGAAGCCCUUCGGGGUGUAAAGGUCUGUCAGUGGGGACGAAACUUGACGGUACCCACAGAGGAAGCAUCGGCUAACUCCGUGCCAGCCGCCGC